AUUCAAAUUUCUGCCCUAUCAACUUUCGAUGGUAAGGUAUUGGCUUACCAUGGUUUCAACGGGUAACGGGGAAUAGGGUUCGAUUCCGGAGAGGGAGCCUGAGAAACGGCUACCACAUCCAAGGAAGGCAGCAGGCGCGCAAAUUACCAAUCCCGACACGGGGAGGUAGUGACAAUAAAUACUGAUAUAGGGCUCUUUUGGGUCUUGUAAUUGGAAUGAGUACAAUUUAAACCCCUUAACGAGGAACAAUUGGAGGGCAAGUCUGGUGCCAGCAGCCGCGGUAAUUCCAGCUCCAAUAGCGUAUAUUAAAGUUGUUGCAGUUAAAAAGCUCGUAGUUGAAACUUGGGUCUGGCUAGCGGGUCCGCCUCACCGCGUGCACUUGUCCGGCUGGACCUUUCCUUCUGGAGAACCUCAUGCCCUUCACUGGGUGUGUUGGGGAACCAGGACUUUUACUUUGCAAAAAAAUUAGAGUGUUCAAAGCAGGCCUUUGCUCGAAUACGUUAGCAUGGAAUAAUAGAAUAGGACCGUGCGGCCUAUUUGUGGGUUUCUAGGAUCGCCGUAAUGAUUAAUAGGGAUAGUCGGGGGCAUCCGUAUUCAAUUGUCAGAGGUGAAUUCUUGGUUUUAUUGG
Molecule: ribosomal RNA, 628 nt
Filed under: uncultured fungus
Lineage: Eukaryota; Fungi
Description: SSU rRNA
Rfam family: Eukaryotic small subunit ribosomal RNA
Source: RNAcentral